UGAACUUCAGCAUAUAACCUCAGUGUACAACCUCAGCCCAAGCCCUGUGUCUGGUCUGUAUUAUGAAUAGGGGGACAUAG
This 80-nucleotide small nucleolar RNA is filed under the name Carlito syrichta (Philippine tarsier). Its description in RNAcentral is "Small nucleolar RNA SNORA51 (ENSTSYG00000024437.2)". Lineage: Eukaryota; Metazoa; Chordata; Mammalia; Primates; Tarsiidae. The record is from RNAcentral.